AUUGCUAUCAUUUGCAGAUUUGGGAGAGAAACUUACUUUUUGAGUUCGGAUUCUCUUAGUCGGCGCUGUUUGUCCUGGAUGUAAGCAGUUGGAUCAAAACGAGGUGCUCGAGACCCUGAAAAGGUCAAAGUUCACACCAGUGGGAGAAGGUGACGGCCUUCGUACGACAGAACGCGUCCCUGUCGAGUCUGCUCGUCUCCCUCUUUCUGUUGACCUUUGCACUCUGUCGCCUCGGCGUUCUCUGGAUCCCGAGCGACCCCUGACAGGGUUGUGCGAACGAUAGAUCUCCCUACAUGCGGAAGUGGCCGUCCCUCUGCUACAGAUACAAGGGCGGCCGGGUCCGGCUUUCCGAUGUAUGGCAGCGGUAAAGGGUAGUGUAUCCUAGGGAGGAACAAGUCAGCGGUGCGCACAAUCCAAAAGAAAACCAAAACCAAAUCACCAAGGGCAACCAAACCUGUCAAACUCCACAGUGUAGAUGAGAAUAAGGUAACGUUUGGCCGUCAGAGCAGACGACUGCGGAUGGCCCCGAGGGCGACCGACCACUCCGGCUUUUCUGUUCCGCAGAAGCUCCAGAUCCGCAUAGGUCAACAAGUCGAGUGUGACGGAAUCACUCGUCUGCAGAAAAACGUAGACAUUAAUAAUCCUGGCUUGACAUAAACCAGUGUGGAUGGGUUGCAGACAUUUAUUUUGAAACAUUCCUUCAUUUAUGUUCCCGCCUCCCUCUGACCUCUCUGCCUGGAGAGAGGGAACAAGAUAGCAUGGGAAUCUUCCAAUUUUUCGCUCCAGUGUCCGCUGCGGCUCAUGCUGCCCGAAGCGUCUUCCUGUCCGUUUACAUCCUUCUAUUUACUCGCAAGCCACCUAUGUUGAGCUUUGUUUGCCAACAUACCUUUCUCACGGCGGAUUCCAACAUGCUACAAAAAAUGGGGAACUGUUUGAAGUUGCCUGUUUUGCGUGUGAGGUCUUCGAUGUCUGAAAAAAAAACAGGAAGGAUGCAACAUGAGGAAUGUGACUUAAACAUGUACACGCCAUCUUUGAUUGAUAACUGACAACUUACACGCCGGAUCAAAUUCUCCCCUCCACUGAUCUGCCGUCUUUGAAUCCGAAAUUUCCACCAGCAGCACGCCCUUAUCCACUUCCACCUUCACGGCAAAUUCCGCUCCUCGGAACACAAUAUUCUCCAUCACCUCCAAGCCCUCCUCCAUUUUUCAGUCUGUAAUAAAGGGACGACCAAUUUCAAUCAAUAAGUGCCUUGCAGUGGAAAAAACCCCAAUAAGACUUAAAUGUAAUCAUUUGUAACAGCUGAAUCAGUGAUACAAUAAACUCUGGGAUUUUUUUU
Syngnathus typhle (broad-nosed pipefish) is the source of this 1336-nucleotide long non-coding RNA. RefSeq lists it as uncharacterized. The transcript has 3 exons. NCBI's taxonomy places the organism in Eukaryota, Metazoa, Chordata, Actinopteri, Syngnathiformes, Syngnathidae. The record is from RefSeq and is a predicted model, not a curated record.